GGUCAAGCGACUAAGUGCAUGUGGUGGAUGCCUUGGCGACUACAGGCGAUGAAGGACGCGUAAGCCUGCGAUAAGCUUCGGGGAGCUGGCAAUAGAGCUUUGAUCCGGAGAUUUCCGAAUGGGGGAACCCGGCCCUUUGGGCCACUCCCACCUGAAUACAUAGGGUGGGUAGAGCGAACGCAGUGAACUGAAACAUCUAAGUAGCUGCAGGAAAAGAAAUCAACCGAGAUUCCCAUAGUAGUGGCGAGCGAAUUGGGAAGAGCCUUCAUGAUUUAGCAUUCUUGUUAGUGGAACAGUCUGGAAAGUCUGGCCAUAGUGGGUGAUAGCCCCGUACGCGAAAACAAGAGUGUGGAACUAGGCAUGAGACAAGUAGGGCGGGACACGUGAAAUCCUGUCUGAACAUGGGGGGACCAUCCUCCAAGGCUAAAUACUCGUAGUCGACCGAUAGUGAACCAGUACCGUGAGGGAAAGGCGAAAAGAACCCCGGGAGGGGAGUGAAAUAGAUCCUGAAACCGCAUGCAUACAAACAGUGGGAGCCCCUGCUUCAAGCACCUUCGAUUCUUUCGAGGAGCGAGCGCAAGCGAGCGACUCAAAAGUAAUUAAGAAGGAGUGAAAUGGGUGCUGCAACGCGCAGCGUUGUAGUGGCCCUGCGAGAACACCCGGAGGGUGUUUGAAGCAGGGGUGACUGCGUACCUUUUGUAUAAUGGGUCAGCGACUUACGUUCCGUUGCGAGCUUAACCGAAUAGGGGAGGCGAAGCGAAAGCGAGUCUUAAUAGGGCGCAUAGUAGCGGGGCGUAGACCCGAAACCGGAUGAUCUAUCCAUGGCCAGGAUGAAGGUGCGGUAACACGCACUGGAGGUCCGAACCCACUAAUGUUGAAAAAUUAGGGGAUGAGCUGUGGAUAGGGGUGAAAGGCUAAACAAAUCCGGAGAUAGCUGGUUCUCCUCGAAAGCUAUUUAGGUAGCGCCUCAUGUAUCACUCACGGGGGUAGAGCACUGUAAUGUUAGUGGGGGUCAUUGCGACUUACUGCGGCAUAGCAAACUCCGAAUACCGUGAAGUGCGAGCAUGGGAGACAGACAUCGGGUGCUAACGUCCGGUGUCAAGAGGGAAACAACCCAGACCGACAGCUAAGGUCCCAAAUGACGUGCUAAGUGGAAAACGAUGUGGGAAGGCAUAGACAGCUAGGAAGUUGGCUUAGAAGCAGCCAUCCUUUAAAGAAAGCGUAAUAGCUCACUAGUCGAGUCGUCCUGCGCGGAAGAUGUAACGGGGCUAAGCACGUAACCGAAGCUUCGGAUAUGCACUUUGUGCAUAUGGUAGAGGAGCGUUCUGUAAGUCUGCGAAGGUGUCCUGUAAGGGGUGCUGGAGAUAUCAGAAGUGCGAAUGCUGACAUGAGUAGCGAUAAAGGGGGUGAAAGGCCCCCUCGCCGAAAACCCAAGGUUUCCUGCGCAACGUUCAUCGGCGCAGGGUGAGUCGGUCCCUAAGGUGAGGCAGAGAUGCGUAGCUGAUGGGAAACGGGUCAAAAUUCCCGUACUUUCGUUUACUGCGAUGUGGGGACGGAGAAGGUUAGGUGAGCCGGGUGUUGGAUGUCCCGGUUUAAGUGCGUAGGCAGAUCCCUUAGGCAAAUCCGGGGGGUUAAUGUCGAGACACGAUGACGGUGCUCCAUUGGAGCCGAAGUCACUGAUACCAAGCUUCCAAGAAAAGCCACUAAGCUUCAGGUAAACGAGAACCGUACCGCAAACCGACACAGGUGGGUAGGAUGAGAAUUCUAAGGCGCUUGAGAGAACUCGGGUGAAGGAACUCGGCAAAUUGGUACCGUAACUUCGGGAUAAGGUACGCCCCGGUAGGUUGUAGCGACUUGCUCGCGAAGGCCGAUGGGGUUGCAGUGAAAUGGUGGCUGCGACUGUUUAAUAAAAACACAGCACUCUGCAAACACGAAAGUGGACGUAUAGGGUGUGACGCCUGCCCGGUGCCGGAAGGUUAAUUGAUGGGGUGCAAGCUCUUGAUCGAAGCCCCGGUAAACGGCGGCCGUAACUAUAACGGUCCUAAGGUAGCGAAAUUCCUUGUCGGGUAAGUUCCGACCCGCACGAAUGGCGUAACGAUGGCCACACUGUCUCCACCCGAGACUCAGCGAAGUUGAAAUGUUUGUGAAGAUGCAAUCUCCCCGCGGCUAGACGGAAAGACCCCAUGAACCUUUACUGUAGCUUUGCAUUGGACUGUGACGGGACUUGUGUAGGAUAGCUGGGAGCCUGUGAAGCGAGGUCGCUAGAUCUCGUGGAGGCGUCGUUGAAAUACCAGCCUGGUGUCGUUGCGGUUCUAACCUGGGUCCAUUAUCUGGAUCGGGGACCGUGCAUGGUGGGCAGUUUGACUGGGGCGGUCUCCUCCCAAAGUGUAACGGAGGAGUACGAAGGUCUUCUAGGUACGGUCGGACAUCGUACUGAUAGUGCAAUGGCAAAAGAAGGCUUGACUGCGAGACUGACACGUCGAGCAGGUGCGAAAGCAGGUCAUAGUGAUCCGGUGGUUCUGUAUGGAAGGGCCAUCGCUCAACGGAUAAAAGGUACUCUGGGGAUAACAGGCUGAUUCCUCCCAAGAGUUCAUAUCGACGGGGGAGUUUGGCACCUCGAUGUCGGCUCAUCACAUCCUGGGGCUGUAGCCGGUCCCAAGGGUAUGGCUGUUCGCCAUUUAAAGUGGUACGUGAGCUGGGUUUAAAACGUCGUGAGACAGUUUGGUCCCUAUCUGCCGUGGGCGUUGGAAGAUUGACGGGGGCUGCUCCUAGUACGAGAGGACCGGAGUGGACGUGCCUCUGGUGUACCGGUUAUGACGCCAGUCGUAUCGCCGGGUAGCUAAGCACGGAAGAGAUAAACGCUGAAAGCAUCUAAGCGUGAAACUUGCCUGAAGAUAAGUCUUCCCUGGCACCUUGAGUGCCCUGAAGGGUCGUCGAAGACCACGACGUUGAUAGGCGGGGUGUGGAAGCGCAGUAAUGCGUUAAGCUAACCCGUACUAAUUGCCCGUGAGGCUUGAUCCU
This is a ribosomal RNA of Thiobacillus denitrificans ATCC 25259, 3021 nucleotides long. It matches the Rfam family "Bacterial large subunit ribosomal RNA". NCBI's taxonomy places the organism in Bacteria, Pseudomonadati, Pseudomonadota, Betaproteobacteria, Nitrosomonadales, Thiobacillaceae. The record is from Rfam.